This 158-nucleotide ribosomal RNA is filed under the name uncultured bacterium. RNAcentral describes it as "partial 16S ribosomal RNA". It matches the Rfam family "Bacterial small subunit ribosomal RNA", at positions 355 to 505 of the family's 1533-position model. The record is from RNAcentral.
UGGGGAAUUUUGGACAAUGGGCGCAAGCCUGAUCCAGCCAUGCCGCGUGCAGGAUGAAGGCCUUCGGGUUGUAAACUGCUUUUGUACGGAACGAAAAGGUGCCUUCUAAUAAAGGGCGCUCAUGACGGUACCGUAAGAAUAAGCACCGGCUAACUACG